Transfer RNA from Proteiniclasticum ruminis, 73 nucleotides. It matches the Rfam family "tRNA". From Rfam's summary of the family: Transfer RNA (tRNA) molecules are approximately 80 nucleotides in length. Their secondary structure includes four short double-helical elements and three loops (D, anti-codon, and T loops). NCBI's taxonomy places the organism in Bacteria, Bacillati, Bacillota, Clostridia, Eubacteriales, Clostridiaceae. The record is from Rfam.
CGCGGGGUGGAGCAGUUGGCAGCUCGUCGGGCUCAUAACCCGAAGGUCGCAGGUUCAAGUCCUGCCCCCGCUA